This 23-nucleotide non-coding RNA is filed under the name Arabidopsis thaliana (thale cress). The record is from RNAcentral. Lineage: Eukaryota; Viridiplantae; Streptophyta; Magnoliopsida; Brassicales; Brassicaceae.
CAGUUUAUCACACUACUUGAUGC